Molecule: ribosomal RNA, 421 nt
Filed under: uncultured bacterium
Lineage: Bacteria
Description: bacterial SSU rRNA
Rfam family: Bacterial small subunit ribosomal RNA
Source: RNAcentral
UAGGGAAUAUUGGACAAUGGGCGCAAGCCUGAUCCAGCCAUGCCGCGUGGGUGAAGAAGGCCUUCGGGUUGUAAAGCCCUUUUGUUGGGAAAGAAAUCCUGUCGGCUAAUACCCGGCGGGGAUGACGGUACCCAAAGAAUACGCACCGGCUAACUUCGUGCCAGCAGCCGCGGUAAUACGAAGGGUGCAAGCGUUACUCGGAAUUACUGGGCGUAAAGCGUGCGUAGGCGGUUCGUUAAGUCUGUCGUGAAAGCCCUGGGCUCAACCUGGGAAUUGCGAUGGAUACUGGCGAGCUAGAGUACGGUAGAGGAUGGUGGAAUUCCCGGUGUAGCGGUGAAAUGCGUAGAGAUCGGGAGGAACACCCGUGGCGAAGGCGGCCAUCUGGACCAGUACUGACGCUGAGGCACGAAAGCGUGGGGAG